AAAAAAAUAUAUUGAAGUAUGUUUAGGAGAAAAAAAAAGAAGAGUACAUAUUUUGACAUAAAUUGGAGUCUCACAUUAUCGUAUUUUUAAAUGCAAUUAUUAUACAUAUAAUUAAGUAGCCGAAUAUUAACUACAUAUGCAUGUAUAUAAAACGGCCCAAAGUCUAUUGUGUAGGAUGAAUAUAUUAUUAAAUUUUCCAUUAAUGUGUAGUCAAAUCUUUAUCAAUUAUUUGAAAAGUUUAACCUAACUUCAUAUUUAUUUAUGUUAUGCCUUUCACUUGUUGCCGACUGAGAUAUAUUCCAUUUGUAUUGGUCCGUCGUUUACAAUUGACACACACACACACAAAGAAAAUAUUCGAUGAUUCUAACACGGUAUUCGAAGUCAUAAGUGUCUUCAAGCAAGUUCAGUAGAAUUUAG
Molecule: long non-coding RNA, 417 nt
Filed under: Olea europaea (common olive)
Lineage: Eukaryota; Viridiplantae; Streptophyta; Magnoliopsida; Lamiales; Oleaceae
Description: long non-coding RNA (OEUR_LNC007947)
Source: RNAcentral